CGUCUCGCACACUGAACUAGACGCCAUUAGAAAACUCAUUUCUCUGUAACUACCAAUUCGCCGUUUUUCAACUCUCCGUUCAAUGUCAAAACCCGACCCGAUCCCUCAAAACCCUAACAAUGUCGAAGAAACAGAGGAAGAGGACUCCGAUGACGACGAGUUUGAAGAAUUCGUCGAAGAAGAAGAGUCGGACCUCCAACCUGACCCGCCCCGAACCCGAAAGGAACAAGCAGGAAUAGAACGGGCGAAAAUGGCGAGUUUCGUUCAAAGAAUACAAACAGAAACGGUGCCGCUUCGAGUACACGACGUGAUAAUCAAAGGAAAUACUAAAACUAAGGAUUCGUUUCUAGAAGCGGAAACGGCGUUACUUAAAGAAGUAACGUCAAUGCAGGAACUGUUAGAGGCGUCAAAAUUGGUUAAUUUUAGGUUACAAGCUCUUGAAGUGUUUGAUUCGGUGAGAAUCACGCUUGAUUCCGGUCCGCCCGAACUUGCCGGUACUGCGAAUGUGGUUGUGGAAGUUGUUGAGACUACGAGUCCGAUUUCCGGCGAAAUUGGCGCGUAUACUAAAGGCGAGGCUAGAUCUUCAACAGUUGAAGGAACUCUUAAGUAUAAAAAUGUAUGUGGUUAUGGGGAUCUUUGGGAUGCCUCUAUGGCUUAUGGCGGGGACCAUAUGACUGAGGUAAGUGCUGGUGUUUAUGUGCCAAGAUUCAAAGGACUUGUGACUCCUCUGACAGCAAGGGUGUUCCUAUUAUCUCAAGAUUGGCUUAAAUUUUCUUCUUAUAAAGAGCGAUCAUUGGGCCUUUCUCUUGGCUUGGUUUCUAGCAGAAAUCAUGACUUGGUAUACAAUCUUGCAUGGCGUACCUUGACAGAUCCAUCACAAAUGGCAUCCAGGUCAAUAAGGAGGCAGCUUGGUCAUGGUUUACUUUCAUCUUUGAAAUACACCUUUAAGGUAGACCAGAGAAAUUCUCCUCUGAGGCCAACACGUGGAUAUGCGUUUGUUUCUACCACUCAGGUUGCUGGCCUUGCACCUGAUAGUCGGAGCUUGUGUUUUCUGCGCCAGGAACUUGACCUUCGUUAUGCAAUCCCUCUUGGAUUUUUACGUUCUGCACUCAAUCUUGGGAUCUCUGCUGGUGUUGUGUUCCCAUGGGGAACUGGGUUUUCUAAUAUGCCUUCACCCCUGCCAGAGAGAUUUUUUAUGGGCGGCAAUUUGUCUCCAAUCUGUACUUUGGGAGGUCCAAUAGCGUUGUAUGGAUUCAGAACAAGGGGAUUGGGCCCUUCCGAACCUCGAAGACAAACGCAGAAUAAUCCAACUGAUGAUAGUGCUGACCCUGGUAGAGAUCAUCUUGGAGGAGACCUGGGCGUUACUGCUUUUGCAGAUCUUUCUUUUGAUUUUCCAUCCAGGUGGUUUCAAGCAAAAGGAAUCCAUGGACAUUUGUUUGCUUCUGCUGGCAAUGUUGAUAAACUAACCGAAAAAGCAUACCAAAGUUUUUCCCUGCGGAAGUUUGUGGAAUCAUGUCGAAGCACUGUGGGUGUUGGGAUUGUUGUCCCUACGAUGCUGUUCCGCCUGGAGUUAAAUUACUGCUACAUGUUGAAGAAAUUUGAGUAUGACCGAGGGAAGUCUGGGUUCCGAGUCAGCUUCUCUACACCUUCAUAGCAUGUGGAUUCUAUUUAUCACACAAUAAUGGCUGGAAGACUUCUUCGACACACAGGAUUUCAUUUCAGAGUCGGUAGCUAAAGAGGCAUUGUUCGGUCAAAGUAAAGCUUAGUCUGUCAAGGUCGAUUAGAGUCCUACAAAGAGACGACAAAUUUCGAAGGAACACUAGAGGAGGUCUCUGGUUGUUGGUUCUGAGGGUCAAGUCAGUGUGUUAUGUUGGAAAAGAUAGAGAUACAAAGAAUAAGGAAUUAAAGAAUAGAGAAUGGCAAUAGAGUACUUAAACAAUCAUAUUUUUCUGGAUCUUCUUUUCAUAUGAUCUGUAUUUCUUAUGGAUCUUUUUUUCACAUCCGGUUCAACAUCUUUUUUUUAUGGAUCUUA
Molecule: RNA transcript, 2032 nt
Organism: Mercurialis annua (annual mercury)
Lineage: Eukaryota; Viridiplantae; Streptophyta; Magnoliopsida; Malpighiales; Euphorbiaceae
Exons: 5
Source: RefSeq, a predicted model, not a curated record